GCCUUUAGCCAAUUUGGCUAGAUUGGAUGUGCUCUCCACUUUGCACCCAAAUUCAAAUCCUCUUCUCCGUAGUUUAUAUUAGAUUAAAGUAUAGAAUAUCGUUUCUGAGACAAAGAAAGAAAGUUGAUAGUUGGUACCUAUUAUUCGAUUAACCAAUGUCAACACAGAAAGAAAGCACAACUUUCUGCAUCUGCAGUAUACUAAUAUAAGAUGAGUGAAUCAACCAACUGGCAAUAGGAUUGAGGUCACACUUAGCCCUGAAAUGGCAUUUCAUCUUUCUCUCUUUCUUUUUGUUGGACUUUCUUUCUUUUCUAUAAUCUUUGAACUGUUAUACUUAACCUUUUAUUUUUUUUAUAAAAAGAACUUGGUGAACAAAAGAGCCGGAGGCAAGAUUUUAGUUCACAUGGGGCACCCUCCAGUUAUGUUCAUAAAACAAAUUUCAAGCUUGCACGAUAUAUACAGUAAGAUUCCAAAUAAUAUGAGGAAGGAUAGGCUGGUUAAUUCAAAUUAGUCAAUGGAAAAAAGAAACAAUAUGCAAAAAAUGAUGAUAACAAUAAAAUUUCCAAAAGAGAGAAAACAUAAAAAAUCCACAAGAAGAUUGAACACCAACUUGAGGAGGCUUUGGGCAAUAUUUAAGUGAGUGAAAUCAUACUUCACUCUAAUCGCACCUAACUCUUUUCGGUCUCAUCCCCUUAAAAGUCAAGAGGCUGGGUUUAUGUGAAGCAAAAUGUUCCUUGUCAGGAUCGUUACCGACCUCGAUCCUUGUAAUUAUCUCCCUUUCCAUAUCAUAAGUAAGAAAACUUUUCACUCCCUGCAACUCAAGUUUACCAUAAAUAACUCUGACUGGCGCCCAAAUUUGAUUCUUCAAACUUGGAUUGUCCUUUAAAAAUUUAUAGGGAACUACUAUCUUAUUUUCACUCCAUUUAUGGUCCUUGAAGUCUUCCAGCACCAAUAUAUUAAGGGCUUCCUCUACAAUCUCACCAACAGCCAAAUGGUGGUUCCAACUGAACACAAAAACUUUUUCCAAG
RNAcentral lists this long non-coding RNA (1028 nucleotides) under Prunus persica (peach). RNAcentral's name for it is "long non-coding RNA (PPER_LNC004051)". Lineage: Eukaryota; Viridiplantae; Streptophyta; Magnoliopsida; Rosales; Rosaceae. The record is from RNAcentral.